Molecule: ribosomal RNA, 423 nt
Filed under: uncultured Glomeromycotina
Lineage: Eukaryota; Fungi; Glomeromycota
Description: SSU rRNA
Rfam family: Eukaryotic small subunit ribosomal RNA
Source: RNAcentral
CGGUACGUACUGGCAUUGUUGGUUUCUCCCUUCUGACGAACCAUGAUGUCAUUUAUUUGGUGUUGUGGGGAAUCAGGACUGUUACUUUGAAAAAAUUAGAGUGUUUAAAGCAGGCUCACGCUUGAAUACAUUAGCAUGGAAUAAUGAAAUAGGACGUUUGAUUCUAUUUUGUUGGUUUCUAGGAUCGACGUAAUGAUUAAUAGGGAUAGUUGGGGGCAUUAGUAUUCGAUUGUCAGAGGUGAAAUUCUUGGAUUUAUUGAAGACUAACUACUGCGAAAGCAUUUGCCAAGGAUGUUUUCAUUAAUCAAGAACGAAAGUUAGGGGAUCGAAGACGAUCAGAUACCGUCGUAGUCUUAACCAUAAACUAUGCCGACUAGGGAUCGGAUGAUGUUAAUUUUUUAAUGACUCAUUCGGCGCCUUACG